GACGACGCUGGCGGCGUGGAUUAGGCAUGCAAGUCGAACGGUAUCAUCCUUCGGGGGUGAGAGAGUGGCGAACUGGUGAGUAACACGUAGGUUAUCUACCUCAAGACGGGGACAACCCAGGGAAACUUGGGCUAAUACCGGAUGUGAGCAACUUUUAGUUGUUUGAAGGGUGGCGUAAGCUGUCGCUUGGGGAUGAGCCUGCGUCCUAUUAGUUAGUUGGUGAGGUAACGGCUCACCUAGGCAAUGAUAGGUAGGCGGCCUUAACGGGUGGUCGCCCACACUGGGAUUGAGAUACGGCCCAGACUCCUACGGGAGGCAGCAGUCGAGAAUAGUCUACAAUGGUCGGAAGACUGAUAGUGCGACGCCGCGUGAACGAUGAAUCCCUUCGGGGUGUAAAGUUCUUUUAUAUGUGAGCAGUGCUUCUUAUAUUAACAGUAUGGGGAGAGAGAUAUUAGCAUAUGAAUAAGCAACGGCUAACUCCGUG
This 484-nucleotide ribosomal RNA is filed under the name uncultured bacterium. Its description in RNAcentral is "bacterial SSU rRNA". It matches the Rfam family "Bacterial small subunit ribosomal RNA", at positions 33 to 507 of the family's 1533-position model. The record is from RNAcentral.